Molecule: ribosomal RNA, 783 nt
Filed under: Triticum aestivum (bread wheat)
Lineage: Eukaryota; Viridiplantae; Streptophyta; Magnoliopsida; Poales; Poaceae
Description: partial small subunit ribosomal RNA
Source: RNAcentral
AUGUUGGAGAGGAUGCAGCUGCUGAAAGCUACUCAGACAGCUCAGAUUUUGAUGACUUUUGAAGAAAACGGUGAUGGAGAGGCUGUCACCAAACCUAAAAAGUAUCCUGUGUACAAAGACAGAGGAGAAGUACCAGAGUUCUGUCUUGGAAUGAAAUUUGAAUCGAAGGAAGAGUUCAGAAAAGCAAUAAUUACUUAUGGACUGCAUCACAGAAGGUUAAUUAGGUUUAAGAAAAAUGGUUCUGUAAGGUGCAGAGACGAGUGUGAUUGGGGGACAUGCCCCUGGUUCUGUUUACUUAGUAGGACAAGUAGGUGCAAUAGUUGGCAGGUGACAUCUUUCAUAGAUAAGCAUUGUUGCCCAAAAAGGAAGGACAACAAGCUGGUCACUUCAGUGAGGAUUGCACAAAAAUAUGAUAAGAUCAUUAGAGGCCACCCAGGAUGGAAGAUUGAUAGCUUGAAAGCACAUGUGCAAGAGGACAUGUUUGCAAAUGUGAGCACAACAGAAAUUAAGAGAGCAAAACAAAUUGUGAAGCAGAGAGUGUAUGAUUCCACCAAGUUCCAAUACUCAAAAGUGUUUGAUUAUCAGUUGGAAUUGCUGAGGAGCAAUCCAGGAAGCACUGUUGUUGUCAAACUUGAUCCAAAGGAAAGAGUACCAACAUUUCUGAGAAUGUAUGUGUGCUUGGCUGCUCUGAAAGAAGGUUUCAAGGCAGGUUGUAGGAAAGUAGUAGGAAUGGAUGGAUGUUUUUCAAAGGAGCAACAAAUGGAGAGCUUCUUUGUGCGAUAG